UUAUAAAGCUGUGUGCCUCUGCUAUAAGUUAACACAGAACUUAUUUUAUAGUGGCGAGGCUGUGACCCAUAACAGUGCCCACAUAACGGAGGAGCCACCAGACCCCUUGGCCAUGCCUGCCGUAGUGCAACGUGUAAUCUGGAUGGUCGGGUCAGGUACACCUAGGAAAUGUUGUAUACAUUGGCAACGAUAACUGGGGCCUGCUCCAGUGCCAUCGCCGGGAUUCCCUGUUCUGCAAAGAACUGGCAUAACUGAUGUGGGGAGCCCUGGCGCUCGGCGUAGGAGCGUCACAGGGGCUCCUUGUCGGUGCUUGAAGGACGGCAGUGCUGUUGAGAAGCCGACAUUGAGCCCCGAUAAAUUGGAAGCUGUGGGUAGUUACCGCAUUAUUGGCUUGGAAACUAGUGAGGUCUGGAUGCAAGUGAAGCUACCGAGGGAGGCAUGUGUGCAUCACUUGUGCUGCUGGCCAUCCUCUGCAAAAGUGAUGGCUGGCUGUCAGUGCUUGGAUGACUUUCUGUUACUCUACGCCUUGGGCUGUGUUGACUACUUCACACUUGCUGCCAUGUCUGCAAGUUACUGUGUUGUGUUACUGUGUUGUGUUGUUGGUAUGUUACUGUGUUGUGUUGUACAUUACAAAGUGAAGGAGGACAGUAUUUGUGCUUUUAUUAAGAAGUAUAAAUUGUGUUCUGCCAUUUAAAAUAAGGGAACUCGACAAAAAGCAAAAAAUUUCGAAGUCUGACCUACAUGGGAAAGCAAAAUAUAUUGUGUUGUAGUUGUAGCUGUUAGUAGAGUCUUAAUAUGCGAUAGAAGACCUUGAUGUUUAAUAGAAAAUAUAUUUAAGUGUGUUAUCAGUGUGUUAUCAGUUUUUAAGUUACUGUUAUAUAAGUGUCAUUUGUUUGCCAGGAUGAUGUAAGCAGACAGUAAAUAAAUGCAUGGU
Molecule: long non-coding RNA, 934 nt
Organism: Dermacentor silvarum
Lineage: Eukaryota; Metazoa; Arthropoda; Arachnida; Ixodida; Ixodidae
Exons: 3
Source: RefSeq, a predicted model, not a curated record